Molecule: non-coding RNA, 206 nt
Organism: Pelobates cultripes (western spadefoot toad)
Lineage: Eukaryota; Metazoa; Chordata; Amphibia; Anura; Pelobatidae
Source: the annotation of a GenBank genome assembly
CCAGGCCCUGAGGGAGGACAUGCAAGGGAUCCAACACAAACUGGCCCAGUUAGAGGCAGACUGCGACCAUGUGACAUUGGCGCAGAACGCUACCACGGGCAUCAUACAACGGCAAGAAGUAACACUGCGCCAAAUGGAGGAUUUAGAUAACCGGGGGAGGCGGCAGAACAUCAGAAUCAGGGGCCUACCCGAGGAAUUGGACCAGG